Molecule: transfer RNA, 87 nt
Filed under: Candidatus Omnitrophota bacterium
Lineage: Bacteria; Pseudomonadati; Candidatus Omnitrophota
Description: Candidatus Omnitrophica bacterium tRNA-Ser
Rfam family: tRNA
About the family: Transfer RNA (tRNA) molecules are approximately 80 nucleotides in length. Their secondary structure includes four short double-helical elements and three loops (D, anti-codon, and T loops).
Source: RNAcentral
GGAGGCGUGGCAGAGUGGUUGAAUGCGGCGGUCUUGAAAACCGUUGGGGAUGCAAGUCCUUCGAGGGUUCGAAUCCUUCCGCCUCCG